CUGGUUCUGGUUGGGCCAGGGGUGCGAAGGAAGUUGAUAAUGGACCUACAGUUUCAAACAGAGUGAACCUAUCGAAACUAUCCGGGCUAGUUGCAUCUAGGACUUUAUUGUCAGAAGAUCAGGAGCCAAAACCAGUUCCCUCCUUUCCCUACAGAAAAUCAAUUGAAGUAAGAAAAUCCGUCGAGGCGACUAAUGGAUCAGAGUCAAGAAGAAGGCGGGAUAAAAAACGUAUUGUUGAUCAAAGUCAAAUUGUAAAUAGAAGAGUCCCAACUGAAAAAUCAACUCCGGUUAGUUAUUAUAGUUGUUACUAAUUAUUAUUUAUUUCUUGUUUUUGUUUUUUGUUUACCAAUUAUCAAAUUUUUGGUAGCGAAAACCUUCCCUUGCUUCUAUAAGGAUUCGGAUCCUCUCGUGUUACACGAGCAACUCUCAUGUUAUAUUUAAAACCACGAUUGUCUUUAUCUUUGCUGAAUAAUUGAAUAAUGAACAACGAUUUGGGGCUGUAUUUUCAGGAUGGACAUGGAUCUAGUGGAAACAAGAUAUACAUGUCAGGUCCAUUACUGGCUUCAAACAAUAUGGAUCAGAUGCUCAAAGACCAUGAUCGUAAGAUCCAAGAGUUUUCAAGACGAGCAAGAGGUGAUAAAGUCCGUGCACAGAGAAAGUAGUUACAAAUUACUUAAAAUAUUUCUGAUUCGGCAGCUGCAUACGGUAUUUUUAUGAUAACAUUUAUUUAUCUCUCAAAACUUGAGAGAAACAAGUCAAGAGUAGUGGAGAGUGCAUUCACUCUUACUGUAACAUAUAUCAUGUAAAUUGCAGGCUCUAUAACAACAAAUUUAUCUUUUACUAUUCAUGUUUCAACCAUAUACAAAUACAAAAUAAUAUAAACAAUUUACUAUGGUAGCUGUUCGUGAAAUCACGGUGCCAACUUAGUUUUCAACUACUGGUUGUCCCUAAGUUUGGUUUCUACAUCACCAAACACAAUUAUUCUGGUUUUUCAUUUGUUGGUAGAUAGGAAAAAGUUGAACUAGAUAUUUGGGGCGUUGGCAUUUGAUUUGUUUUUAUUUUAGCUGAAGAAAUGCAAUUUCAAACUUGAAAAUGAUAUUGAUCUGUUUAAAAUUAAAAUUAAUUCAAAGCCAUAGGGAUAUUUCAGGAAAGAUGCUGCAGCUUAAUAUAACAAGAGCAGAUUAUUAUUUAUUCACCAUUAGAAUAAGCAGUAUUUUCUAUAAGAAACUUCUUUAUUUAAGCUUGGCGAAAUUAUGUUUGUCGUCCCCUAAGUUCGACAAUUUUCUCAUAUAGGUCCUUUAAUUUUUUUUCUUCUCAAAUUGAUCGUUUAUGUUACAUUCUGAUUGCACUGGCAGCCAUCUCUCCCAUCUUAAUAACGACCAGAGCAACUGAAAGCAUAUGGUCAUUAGGGUCUGUCUCUGCUCACCCCUGCACUAAUCCCCCCCUCCAAAUAAUAAUUUUUUAGAAAAACAUCCAUGAAGUCCAAUAAACGAUCUACUUUUUUUUUUAGUUUACAAAUUACAAUGUCAUUGACCUCCUUCACUUGCAAAGUUGCUCAACUGAUUUGGUUUGAGUUAAGGGAUAAAAAGUUGGAUAUGUCGUGACUUCAAACUCGGACAAAAUAGUAAAUAUCAAAAGAAAACUUGACCAUGCUAUUGAGGUUAGACCCACUUCAUAACAGUAAUUCGGAAAAUUUAAUAUAAAGGACCGAUUCAGGAAAAAGAAAAAUUUGAAGGACUAAUCCAAAAAAGCUCUAAAUUGCAUGCAUAAUUUUGCUUUUAAACUAUUAUUUCACAUAUGAUCUGAAAUUUUGAUGAAAUUAAAAAACAAAAGAUUUGUAGAACUCAUUGUUUAAGCAACAAGGAAGAUAAUUUUAAGGACUUAUUGGUGUCAAUAUGACCUAAUUAUAUAUUUUUGAUCCAGUAACAUUUAUAAAUAUGAAUUCUAUCACAACAAACAACUGGUAUUUUAUUGGCAAUAAUACCUUAGGUAAAAGUUGAGUACACAAGGAUCGUUGAGGCAGAUCUUACCUGAUGCAGUAAAGCAUAAUCAAUUAAUCACGCCAUAAAUUGACUAGAUAUCUGCUAGAGUUGCAUCAUGUUUUCCUUUGUUUGGCUAGCCAUCUACUUAAUUCAGACGGUGCUCAAAUUUAAAGUUAUUAUUCAUGAGGAAAUGUUAAGAAUACUCUUUUCUAACUUUCUCCCUUCAACUCAUUUUUUUUAUGGGAAAUGUUAACAAAUGCUAUUAGGGCAUUGUUUUAACUUUAAAUAGUAAGUUUUUGUUAAAGUUUAUGAAAUCAAUGCAUUGUAAAUUGGAGUUUUUGACUUUUUUAAAGAAUAAUUUCUGUAAAAAAAAAAAAAAAAAAAAAAUCUUUAUUAGAAAUCCUUAAAGAGUAUCCUUAGGACACUCGUUAACAAGACCAUUUUUUUAUUUAACGAGUGUUAGAAAGAGAGUGUUCUUAACAUUUAUAUCUUUUAAGCAUUAUUCAAUCAAUAAGUAUUCUUCAGCUUCCUUUAAAAAAAAGAACUAUUUUUCAGCUAACAAUAAUUUAAUAUGAAACUUAUAUUCUUUUAUGAAGUGAAUAUAGUACAAAAUAAUUUUCAUGAAUGGAAACAACAUAAUGUGAUACUUUCAAAUUGGCUAAUGAAUGAUAUCACUUAAUUUUCCAUGCCAGAUUGAUUGAUAUUCAUUUUCUGUAUUAAAUAAGAAACUAUUAAUAAAUAAUCCGCAUAUUUAAAACAAACAGCACCAGUGGUCUAGUGGUAGAAUAGUACCCUGCCACGGUACAGACCCGGGUUCGAUUCCCGGCUGGUGCAUUUUUUCUUUUUCUUUUUUACUUGUUUUGUUCAAUUAUUAUUAACCUAUUAAAACGAUAACAAACAUCAAGCGGGGAUAGCUCAGUUGGGAGAGCGUCAGACUGAAGAUCUGAAGGUCGCGUGUUCGAUCCACGCUCACCGCAAUUAUUCUACUUUUUUUCCUUCUUCUUCCUAUUUUCUAUUUGGACCCUUUUCUUCCUUAAUUUUUGCUAACCACACCGCCUGUCUUAAAUCUUAUCAACUCUGUAUCCAGUGAUUAUAAUUUAUAACUUAUAAAAAUCUUGUUUUCAAAGUUCCAACUAAAUAUCCUUCAAAAAAAAAGAGUUCCAACUAAAUAUUAUUGGUUAUCCAUUUAUUUUUGAUAAAUUAUUUGGCCAUCCACUUAAUCUCAAGCUGCAUGCUACUCAUAUUGAGAUUAAUUAUGCAGUCCAUAAUAAUCUGACACUACUUACCUUUCAAAAAAUAAUCUGGCACUACUUAGCUCAACAAUUUUACAUAAUCUCCUUUAGUUCAUGAUAAAAUAUUAAAAAGCCUUCCAAAGUCUUUCUCAAGGUGGAUAAUGUAGGCCAUGUUUUGAAUAAACAACUUAAUUAAGCAGUAAGCACUCACAACGUAAGGAGAUUGUCAUAUAAGUGUUUUUUUAGGCAAGUGUUAAUAUAUACGCUAUUUUUAUAACAAAAGAUAAAAUAAGAUUAAACUAUACUCACUCCGUUCUAAAAUAUAAGCAAAUUUUACUUUUUAAGUUCAUUCAAUUAAUGAUGUAUGUGGUCCAUAAUAUGAACCACAUAUAUCAUUAAUUGAAUGAACCUAAAAAGUCAAAUUUACUUAUAAAUUUUUUUCAUAAGCUAUUAUGAAAAGUUUAUGAAAAUAAACUAAAAAAAGUUUACAUAUCAUAAGUUGUUUCUAUAUGCUCUCUCAAAGAGUAUCAUUAAAUAAACUAAAAUGAGUCGAACCAAACAGACCUGUAAUGCUUCUUAUAUUGUCAAUUGCAAUUGAUUCUAUCACAAUUCUGGACCUUUUAAUCGGCAAUAUAUAAUAUAUACCUUGGUUGGACUUACUGUGAAUCCAGUAAACAAGAGAUGUUCUGCUGCAUUAUUACAUUAGUCUUACUGUGAAUCCACAUAGGCAGCAAGUUGUAUAUUAAUAUAUAGUACUACCUUAAUCAGCAUAAUAAUUUCUAAUUAAUUUGAAUUUUUCAUGCAUUGAUGGAUGAUGAUAUCAUA
Molecule: long non-coding RNA, 4039 nt
Filed under: Medicago truncatula (barrel medic)
Lineage: Eukaryota; Viridiplantae; Streptophyta; Magnoliopsida; Fabales; Fabaceae
Description: long non-coding RNA (MTRU_LNC002061)
Rfam family: tRNA (bases 2887-2959)
Source: RNAcentral